AUUGAACGCUGGCGGCAGGCUAACACAUGCAAGUCGAGCGGAUGAAGGGAGCUUGCUCCUGGAUUCAGCGGCGGACGGGUGAGUAAUGCCUAGGAAUCUGCCUGGUAGUGGGGGAUAACGUCCGGAAACGGGCGCUAAUACCGCAUACGUCCUGAGGGAGAAAGUGGGGGAUCUUCGGACCUCACGCUAUCAGAUGAGCCUAGGUCGGAUUAGCUAGUUGGUGGGGUAAAGGCCUACCAAGGCGACGAUCCGUAACUGGUCUGAGAGGAUGAUCAGUCACACUGGAACUGAGACACGGUCCAGACUCCUACGGGAGGCAGCAGUGGGGAAUAUUGGACAAUGGGCGAAAGCCUGAUCCAGCCAUGCCGCGUGUGUGAAGAAGGUCUUCGGAUUGUAAAGCACUUUAAGUUGGGAGGAAGGGCAGUAAGUUAAUACUUGCUGUUUUGACGUUACCAACAGAAUAAGCACCGUAA
Molecule: ribosomal RNA, 473 nt
Filed under: Pseudomonas aeruginosa
Lineage: Bacteria; Pseudomonadati; Pseudomonadota; Gammaproteobacteria; Pseudomonadales; Pseudomonadaceae
Description: bacterial SSU rRNA
Rfam family: Bacterial small subunit ribosomal RNA
Source: RNAcentral